GACGAACGCUGGCGGCGUGCCUAAUACAUGCAAGUAGAACGCUGAAGCGAGGAGCUUGCUCUUCUUGGGUGAGUUGCGAACGGGUGAGUAACGCGUAGGUAACCUGCCUUGUAGCGGGGGAUAACUAUUGGAAACGAUAGCUAAUACCGCAUAACAAUGGAUGACACAUGUCAUUUAUUUGAAAGGGGCAAUUGCUCCACUACAAGAUGGACCUGCGUUGUAUUAGCUAGUAGGUGAGGUAAUGGCUCACCUAGGCGACGAUACAUAGCCGACCUGAGAGGGGGGUACGCCAAACUGGGACGGGGACACGGCCCAGACUCCUACGGGAGGCAGCAGUAGGGGAUCUUCGGGAAUGGGGGCAACGCUGACCGGGCAACGCCGCGUGAGUGAAGAAGGGUUUCGGAUCGUAAAGCUCUGUUGUAAGUCAAGAACGGAUGUGAGAGUGGAAAGUGCACACUGUGACGGUAGCUUACCAGAAAGCGACGGCUAACUACGUG
Molecule: ribosomal RNA, 497 nt
Filed under: uncultured bacterium
Lineage: Bacteria
Description: partial 16S ribosomal RNA
Rfam family: Bacterial small subunit ribosomal RNA
Source: RNAcentral